Molecule: ribosomal RNA, 1021 nt
Filed under: Mycobacterium tuberculosis variant bovis
Lineage: Bacteria; Bacillati; Actinomycetota; Actinomycetes; Mycobacteriales; Mycobacteriaceae
Description: bacterial SSU rRNA
Rfam family: Bacterial small subunit ribosomal RNA
Source: RNAcentral
UGCACAAUGGGCGCAAGCCUGAUGCAGCGACGCCGCGUGGGGGAUGACGGCCUUCGGGUUGUAAACCUCUUUCACCAUCGACGAAGGUCCGGGUUCUCUCGGAUUGACGGUAGGUGGAGAAGAAGCACCGGCCAACUACGUGCCAGCAGCCGCGGUAAUACGUAGGGUGCGAGCGUUGUCCGGAAUUACUGGGCGUAAAGAGCUCGUAGGUGGUUUGUCGCGUUGUUCGUGAAAUCUCACGGCUUAACUGUGAGCGUGCGGGCGAUACGGGCAGACUAGAGUACUGCAGGGGAGACUGGAAUUCCUGGUGUAGCGGUGGAAUGCGCAGAUAUCAGGAGGAACACCGGUGGCGAAGGCGGGUCUCUGGGCAGUAACUGACGCUGAGGAGCGAAAGCGUGGGGAGCGAACAGGAUUAGAUACCCUGGUAGUCCACGCCGUAAACGGUGGGUACUAGGUGUGGGUUUCCUUCCUUGGGAUCCGUGCCGUAGCUAACGCAUUAAGUACCCCGCCUGGGGAGUACGGCCGCAAGGCUAAAACUCAAAGGAAUUGACGGGGGCCCGCACAAGCGGCGGAGCAUGUGGAUUAAUUCGAUGCAACGCGAAGAACCUUACCUGGGUUUGACAUGCACAGGACGCGUCUAGAGAUAGGCGUUCCCUUGUGGCCUGUGUGCAGGUGGUGCAUGGCUGUCGUCAGCUCGUGUCGUGAGAUGUUGGGUUAAGUCCCGCAACGAGCGCAACCCUUGUCUCAUGUUGCCAGCACGUAAUGGUGGGGACUCGUGAGAGACUGCCGGGGUCAACUCGGAGGAAGGUGGGGAUGACGUCAAGUCAUCAUGCCCCUUAUGUCCAGGGCUUCACACAUGCUACAAUGGCCGGUACAAAGGGCUGCGAUGCCGCGAGGUUAAGCGAAUCCUUAAAAGCCGGUCUCAGUUCGGAUCGGGGUCUGCAACUCGACCCCGUGAAGUCGGAGUCGCUAGUAAUCGCAGAUCAGCAACGCUGCGGUGAAUACGUUCCCGGGCCUUGUA